RNAcentral lists this ribosomal RNA (768 nucleotides) under Leuconostoc pseudomesenteroides. Its description in RNAcentral is "bacterial SSU rRNA". It matches the Rfam family "Bacterial small subunit ribosomal RNA", at positions 64 to 819 of the family's 1533-position model. Lineage: Bacteria; Bacillati; Bacillota; Bacilli; Lactobacillales; Lactobacillaceae. The record is from RNAcentral.
GCACAGCGAAAGGUGCUUGCACCUUUCAAGUGAGUGGCGAACGGGUGAGUAACACGUGGACAACCUGCCUCAAGGCUGGGGAUAACAUUUGGAAACAGAUGCUAAUACCGAAUAAAACUCAGUGUCGCAUGACACAAAGUUAAAAGGCGCUUUGGCGUCACCUAGAGAUGGAUCCGCGGUGCAUUAGUUAGUUGGUGGGGUAAAGGCCUACCAAGACAAUGAUGCAUAGCCGAGUUGAGAGACUGAUCGGCCACAUUGGGACUGAGACACGGCCCAAACUCCUACGGGAGGCUGCAGUAGGGAAUCUUCCACAAUGGGCGAAAGCCUGAUGGAGCAACGCCGCGUGUGUGAUGAAGGCUUUCGGGUCGUAAAGCACUGUUGUAUGGGAAGAACAGCUAGAAUAGGGAAUGAUUUUAGUUUGACGGUACCAUACCAGAAAGGGACGGCUAAAUACGUGCCAGCAGCCGCGGUAAUACGUAUGUCCCGAGCGUUAUCCGGAUUUAUUGGGCGUAAAGCGAGCGCAGACGGUUGAUUAAGUCUGAUGUGAAAGCCCGGAGCUCAACUCCGGAAUGGCAUUGGAAACUGGUUAACUUGAGUGCAGUAGAGGUAAGUGGAACUCCAUGUGUAGCGGUGGAAUGCGUAGAUAUAUGGAAGAACACCAGUGGCGAAAGCGGCUUACUGGACUGUAACUGACGUUGAGGCUCGAAAGUGUGGGUAGCAAACAGGAUUAGAUACCCUGGUAGUCCACACCGUAACGAUGAACACUAG